RNAcentral lists this ribosomal RNA (253 nucleotides) under uncultured bacterium. RNAcentral's name for it is "partial 16S ribosomal RNA". It matches the Rfam family "Bacterial small subunit ribosomal RNA", at positions 524 to 776 of the family's 1533-position model. The record is from RNAcentral.
GACAGAGGGUGCAAACGUUGCUCGGAAUCACUGGGCGUAAAGGGCGUGUAGGCGGGAAGGAAAGUCAGAUGUGAAAUCCCCAGGCUCAACCUGGGAACUGCAUUUGAAACUCCCUUUCUUGAGUACCGGAGAGGAAAGUGGAAUUCCUGGUGUAGAGGUGAAAUUCGUAGAUAUCAGGAGGAACACCAACGGCGAAGGCAGCUCGCUAGGACGGUACUGACGCUGAGGCGCGAAAGCAUGGGGAGCGAACAGG